Molecule: long non-coding RNA, 279 nt
Filed under: Heterocephalus glaber (naked mole-rat)
Lineage: Eukaryota; Metazoa; Chordata; Mammalia; Rodentia; Bathyergidae
Description: lncRNA (ENSHGLG00000032552.1)
Source: RNAcentral
GUAGAAACAAAUAGCUUCCCGAAAUUGACCUGUGUAUUUAUGGAAAUUCUUUUUUUUUUUUUUGAGACAGGUCUUGCUGUGUAGUUCAGGCUGGUCUUGAACUCCUGGCAAUCCGUGCCCAACUCCACCAUUUUUUUUUCCAGUACUGGGGAUUGAACUCAGGACCUUCCGCUUGUCAGCCGCUCAUUUUAGAGGUGAGAUUCACGGAAGGAGGCAGACGGAAGUGGAAACAGCUGCAGCAAAGCCAAAUGAGAAGUGACUCAGGCCCGUGAGAGUCAG